CACGCGGGGGCGGCCUAUCAUGCAAGUCGAAGCGGUACCAAGAGUAAGAGCCUUGGCUCGUUCCUGCCGGGUAGCGGCGGGACAGGGUGAGUAACAUGUAGGCAACCUGCCUGUACGACUGGGAUAACUCCGGGAAACCGGAGCUAAUACCGGAUACGUUUUUCAAACCGCAUGGUCUGAAACAUAAAGACCUUUGGUCUCGUACAUAUGGGCCUGCGGCUCAUUAGCUAGUGGGGGGGGUAACGGCCUACGCAGGCAACCAUGCCUAGCCGACCUGAAAGGGUGAUCGGCCUCACUGGGACUGACACACGGCCCUCACUCCUACGGGAGGCAGCAGUAAGGAAUCUUCCUCAAUGGACGAAAGUCUGACCGAUCCCCGCCGCGUGAACAAUGAAGGUUUUCGGAUCGUAAAUUUCUGUUGUUAGGGAAGAACCGCCGGGAUGACCUCCCGGUCUGACGGUACCUAACAAAAAAGCCCCGGCUAACUACGUGCCAACAGCCGCGGUAAUACGUAAGGGGCAAGCGUUGUCCGGAAUUAUUGGGCGUAAAGCGCGCGCAGGCGGCUUCUUAAGUCAGGAGUGAAAGCCCACGGCUCCACCGUGGAAGGCCACUUGUGAAACUGGGGAGGCUUAGAGUGUCAGGAGAGGAGAUGCGGAAUUUCCACGUGUUUAGCGGUGAAAAAUGCGUAAAGAUGUGGAGAAACACCCGUGGAGAAGGCGGCUCUCUGGACAAGAAACUGACCCAGAGGCGAGAAAGCGUGGGGAGCGAACAGGAUUAAACACCCGUGAGUAGUCACACGCCGUAAACGUUGAGUGACUAGGUAGUUGGGGACUCCAAUCCUAAGGGUCCGCAACUAACCCAAUUUAAGCACUCACCCCUGGGGAGAACAGGGGCCGCAAGGCUGAAAUUCAAAGGAAUGGACGGGGACCCGCACAAGCGGUGGAGCAUGUGGUUUAAUUCGAAGCAACGGGAAGACCCUUCCCAGUGCUUGACAUCCCGGUGACCCUCAUAGAGAUAGGAGUUCUUUUGGGAGCAGCGGUGACAGGUGGUGCAUGGUUGUCGUCAGUUCGUGUCGUGAGAUGUUGGGUUAAUUCCCGCAAGGAGCGCAACCCUUUUCUUUAGUUGCCAGCAUUCAGUUGGGCACUCUAGGGAGACUGCCGUCGACAAGACGGAGGAAGGUGGGGAUGACGUCAAAUCAUCAUGCCCCUUAUGUCCUGGGCUACACACGUGCUACAAUGGAUGGAACAAACGGAGCAAGCCGAACGUCGCGAGAGUGCGCCAAUCCUUUAAAACCAUUUUCAGUUCGGAUUGCAGGUUGCAACUCGCCUGCAAGAAGCCGGAAUUGGUAGUAAUUGCGGAUCAGCAUGCCGCGGUGAAUACGUUUCCCGGGUCUUGUACACACCGCCCGUCACACCACGAGAGUUUGCAACACCAAGAAAGUCGGUGAGGUAACCGCAAGGAGGCCAGCCGCCCGAAGUGGCCGUUGCCGGAGUGUGCUUUUUU
RNAcentral lists this ribosomal RNA (1503 nucleotides) under Bacillus acidovorans. Its description in RNAcentral is "bacterial SSU rRNA". It matches the Rfam family "Bacterial small subunit ribosomal RNA". The record is from RNAcentral. Lineage: Bacteria; Bacillati; Bacillota; Bacilli; Caryophanales; Bacillaceae.